Molecule: long non-coding RNA, 1538 nt
Organism: Papilio xuthus (Asian swallowtail)
Lineage: Eukaryota; Metazoa; Arthropoda; Insecta; Lepidoptera; Papilionidae
Exons: 3
Source: RefSeq, a predicted model, not a curated record
UGUGCCUGACGGCGGGCCCCGUGGUGCGCGUCUGUAUGGGCAUCGAGCCCGCAUUCUACGUCGACUCCGGCCCGCCCACAUACGCAUUCAACCCCUGCGGACACAUGGCCUCCGAGAGGACCGUCAAGUACUGGGCGAGUGUGGACAUCCCGCACGGCACGAACGGCUUCCACGCGAUCUGUCCCUUCUGCGCCGCCCCGCUGCAGGGCUCACCCGGAUACGUGCGCCUCAUCUUCCAGGACAACCUCGACUGAAUCUCAUCCCAGCCCAUACCACAACACACAACACACACACACAUCCGCGUAUAGAACUAUACGUAGGACAGUGCAUCGAUAACGAAGGCACAAAGACAUCACUAAUGGCUAGACUCGGCUAUGGACUUAUUACAUCGCUUGAUAAAUGGGAAGAACAACAACGGCCAUGCAUCGGAAAAAAAAUUCGUAUUGACAGUUUCAACAGUCCAAGUAUACUUGUUUACUUAGUUUAUAAAAUCAUGUCAUCUCUCAAUUUCUCAUUGAAAAAACAAAGACAAAAAUAGGUAUAAAUAAUGUCCACGACAAUCAAACAUCACGGUUACUGGGAAUUAAUGAUCACACUGUAGCAAUGUACAUUGAUUUGGCACUUCAGGAACUUGUGGACUGAUCUGCCUGACGUGCCAACUCAAGUAUCGUGUGCUUUUUAUUUUUUUUAAUAUUCAGAUUAAAUUAAUCACCUAUAUUUCUAAUAAGGUUGAUUCUUUUUGAAUAAAUCUGUCCAUUCUAUUAUAAACCGUAUGCUAAAGCAACAAGGUACAAAAUAGAAUAAUUUUUCAAAAAGUCAAAAGUUCCCAGUAUGUUAUCAUUCAGUAUAAAAUGUUUAAAAUAUCGAUGCAUUAAUAUGAUUAUUUAAGACUGGAAAUUCACCAAAGUUGAAAUUAUCAAUAAAACACAUUCUAUGCCACCAGCACAUUCAGCAAGUUUACUUAAAUUGUACGUGAAAUAGUGGCAUUGAAUGUUUUAAAAUAAUUGUUCUAGAUAAAUUUUAGCUUUGUGUCGACAUUUUGACAUUCAACAAUGGAUUUACCGAUUUAUUAAAUCGAUUUAAAAACUUACCAAAAUGAGAAAAUAUUUUGUAAAUAUUAUCUCUUAUCGAUAAAAACACUUCCAACACUAUUCAUAAGCAACUUUGGAAGUAAAUGAUUUAGACAUUUAAUAAUUUGCAAAAAUUAAAGGUACGCGUCUAUUGAUCGCCGGACGCACCACACGCACGGUCCGCAAUGGAUUUUAAUUUGUAUAUUUUACAUAGGGCUGUAUCCAUUAUCCACGCAACCCGCAUCAAGACAGAGCAAAUCCGUUUAAUCCAUGCAUUGCGUCCGAGUGGACCAAUGUACGUGAACCUUUAAAAUCGAUUAUCGUCCAGCUUUCAUUCUCUGGCGUCCAUGAAGCUAUCAAUCUUCAUUUAUGUACCUACGAAUGCAUGUAUGUGCAUACAUACAUACAGUUUCAUUAUUUUAUAUAGAUAAUCGUUUUAAACAUGGCGAGCUUGGAAUUUUUCAAUAU